UGCGAUCGUAUCAGCACGCAUCCAAUAUGCGGAACCGAGCCAUUGGAUAAGAUAUCUACUGGAAAUAUAAAAUACGGGCUCAGUAUUAGCCAGUGUAAUGUCUUCGAAAGAUUGACCUGAAUGAGUUAUAUAAUCCCCGCUUUAGAGCAUUAGCCGUUUCUAGCCGAUCCUAUAAUUAUAUUUGGGAUCAAAGGCUUAGUUAUCGUUGUUAUUGCUGCCGCUGCGGCCACAGAGCAUGUGGCUAUCGUUGUGCUACGAACUCCCGAUUUGGCUCAGCAAUUUGUGUAAGGCUAGUCUCUCUGAUUCUGUAUUAUGUAUAAUUUCAAACUGGAAGCGAAAGUCUCUCCUAUUUAACAUAAAUUGUCUCAAAAACAUUGAUGUGUAUGCCACUGAGGGAUAGGAGCGUUAGUCUCAAACAAAUGAGGCUAACUUUGCCUUGCUCUGUUUCAAUCUUCUCCCUUGGUGGUGGUUGUGUGUAUUCAUAUUUCUUAUUCUUUUCCUUUUUAUGUUCGGAUUCUCUCUCGCUUUCCUUCCUAAAAAAUUUGGCUUCUCUCUUACGAGUUUGGAAUCAAGUUUGUAGUUUAGCGGUGGUUUCCACUGCCACUUUGUAGAAUCAAAGGGGGGGAAUUUAAAUGGUUGUUUGAAUUUUCUUGGAUCCUUCAAAGCAUCCAGGGUCGCGAAACGGGUCGAAAGGGAGAUUUUUGUUAGUCACUAGAGAUGUCAACGGGUCGGAUUCGGGUGAAUUUUUAAAAACCCGAAUCCGAACCCAACUCCAAACCCGAGACCCGAAUCCGAACCCGACGGAUUUUAAAAAUCCAUAUCCAAACCCGAACCCGACCAAAAAUCCGAAACCCGAAGCCGAAUUCGAAAAUUUGAAUCCGAAACAAUUAUUUUUUUUUUCAAUAUUUCAAAAUAAAUUAUAUUAAAUCUAAAUUUUUAAAAUACAAAUUUAAAUAUAACAUCAAAUUUUUAUAUAUAUAUUAUAUAUAAUACAAAAUAAAUUUGGGUUCGGGUCGGGUUUGGGUCGGGUACAAUCAAAAUUCAUAUCCGAAUCCAUAUCCGUCAGGUUUCUAUUUUAAAUAUCCAUAUUCGAAUCCAUAUCCAUCGAAUAUAUCCGUUUCAUUCGGGUUCGGGCUCGGAUAAAAUUUCGGGUAUCCAUACCCAUUGACAUCCCUAGUCACGCUUAGCAGCAAAACCGAGGUAAGCUCAGUGAGCUAAAGUAAGUUCGAUUUUAACUCAAAAUUGUAGAUAUAAAAUGGUUUAGUUCAUAAGAAUUAUAGAUACCGAAAAUUAAUGAUUUAUAUUAUAUAUAAUUUGUAAAUUUUUCAGAUAUCAUGAAACAUGUUUAAUCAAUUAAAUUUUAAUUAUUAUUAGAUCUCUAUGCUAGAAUUUUCACAAUGGACAGAACUUUGAAUAGUCGAGACCAGGAGUGCACUAGGUUCAUGCAACAAUUUCGGAGUUGGAAUCUUAUAAUCCACUAUUGUAAGGUUUUGGCUGUUUAGCCAACCAAAAUGAUAAAAUUAAUGUGAAAAAAAUAGUCCCGAUAAAAUUAGAGGAUUGCAAAUCAAAACGAAUUGCCAUAGGAUGGCAAACAAUAUAAAGAAUACCUCUACAAAAUUAUGAAAUUUGGUUUCUAAAUAAUUCCAAUAGCAUAAAUCAUGUCUAACGGAGUCGAUCGCAGGAUCGGAUGCUCUAUUAUCGAAAACAACUUACAAGCACGGAUGCUUCCGUAUUUUCGAAAGCAUAAGAGCCUAGCUCUCUCUCUCUCUCUCUCUCUCUCUCUAUAUAUAUAUAUAGGGAAAAUUUCAUAGGUACUCCUAUAGGAGACUGAAAUUUCAUUAAUAACCUUCUAAAAUUGAAAAAAUCACGAAUGACCUUCUCAAUUCAAAAAUACUCAUGAAUGCCCUUACAGGUAAAGUGUCGUUAAAAUCUAACCGAACAGAUUAUAAAUGACAUUUCUAUUCCUGUACGGUUCAUUAAGUAUAGGAAGCCGUAAUGGUAUAUUAGCACUAUUCACAAAUGCCCUCUUAUUCUCUCCACAUAGCAAUGAGCCCACUAAGUUGUCGAUAUUUUACAACACCUCAUAACACAACUCCUAAUUGUGAUUGUCGUAAACCAUGCCGAAUUUAGAUGUCAAAACAACCACACAAUAAAGGUCGAUGAUUUUAUUGAUGUCCAAAUUGGAGGGUAAGUUGAUGUGAUACAUUAGUGUGCAUAUAAAGGCUAAGUUACAUAAAACCUUCAUGUCAAAAUUCGAUUUUUCACUUUCCUCCUCUGUCAUUUGAAAACCUACACUUUGCCCUCUUGUAAAAUGAAAAUUGUUCACUUCGCCUCUUGCCGUUAGUAAUCUGUUAGAGUUCCGUUUAUAAAAUAUUAUUAUAUAUUUUUUUAUGCCAAAAAUGCCAUCAACCUUCUCUCCUGUGAACAUGAUGAGAGGCAAAAUAGUGAAGGGCAAAAUGGUUAUUUUAUCAUCACAGUUCACACCGUACUCCUGUGAACAUUUUUUAUUUUAUAAGAAGGCAAAAUGUAGGUUUUUAAAUGAUAAGAGGGAAAGUGAAAAAUUAGAUUUUGAUAGGGGAGUUUUCUGUAAUUUAGCCUUAAUUAAAUUUCAAAUAUAUAAUGCUGUAUAUUUUCUAUAGAUUUAGGAAUAAAGAUAAUGCAACUUUGGGUAUUUACUUUUCAAUGCAGCACAGUUAACCUUGAGUACCAAAUACAUAUGCUGAAAAUAAUAUAGGCCGAAGAAUUAUGAAAUUGGAGGAGAAAAUCCUCCUGUGUACUUUAUAUACUAGUUUUUAAAUUUUUUUAUCUUAGCAUUAAUUAGUUAUUUCCCGCCAAAUAUAUCAUUCUAACUUUUGGGGAAAAACUUAUCAUUCUAUAUUUUAACUUUCAUUUAACUACAUUUUAAUUCAGGUAGAGCGACGUAUCCUUAACAGCAAGGAUAGUUAUGAUAAUUUUAUAUGUUUGAAGAGGUGUUUAUUAUAUUUGAAAGUUUAGAGGAGUAUUCAUGAAAUUUACAAGUUUGAUAAGCUUACUAAUGAAAUUGCCCUUUUCUUUAUAUCAAUAAUUAAUUAUAUCAAUAAUUGCAUAUAAUUUAGGGUAAACUUCAAAUACUAAUCCUGUGGUUUCGUACUUUUUUACUUUAAUAUCAUGUAGUUUAAAAAGUUUCACUUUAGUACCCUAUGAUUUUAUUUUUCUCUUUCCACCAGCAUCUCCCUUAACUCUCCAUUAAAUUAUAUACAGAAAAAUUUCAGAUACCCCGCCCUAUGAUUUAUUGAAUAUUCACUUUAGUAUCCUGUGGUUUACCGAAUUUUUACUUUAGUACUCUAUGGUUUUAAUUUUAUCACUGAUAUAAUAGAAAAUUAAUGGAGAGGAUAACAGAAAGAGAAAUUUAUUAAAUUUAUUAAAAUUAAUAAUGAAAUAAUAUAAAAGCUCAAAUAAAAAAAUAGAGGUUAAAGGGNAUUCAUUUUCCUGCUGGUGCCGUGCCAAAGGAUGGACCAUCGGCAGGAGUUACUUUGGUGACAUCGCUUGUUUCACUAUUCAGUCAAAGGAAAGUUAGAGCAGACACUGCAAUGACCGGAGAAAUGACUCUGAGGGGCCUUGUAUUACCAGUUGGUGGCAUCAAGGAUAAGGUAGGUUUUUUUGACCGGUAUACUAUGUUGUGGAAAUAAUGCGAGAGAUACUUCAUUAGGAAUACGUCCCUUGUAAUUAUGUAUCUUUUAAUUUAUACUUUUAAUUUGCUCCUAAAGGUAUUGGCAGCUCAUCGUUAUGGCAUCAAGAGAGUAAUCUUGCCGGAACGGAAUUUGAAGGACCUAACUGAAGUCCCAUCGGCCAUUCUAUCUGGCAUGGAGGUAUUUUUUUCUGCUUUUUUGCUCGGAACUUUUUUAAUGUAGAUUCUUUUGUAAUUAUUUUAAUAACGUUUGAAGAAUUUGAUAAUAGAUGACAACACUUACUAUACUCACUGACUGAUCAUCAUCUUGUCAAAAUGCUCACUAGUUUGACGAAACAGUUCUGGAUCUGAGCACUGAGAAAAUUUGAAUAUUGAUGAUCUAAUGAAACUAUUAUCUCUCGUAACAGUCAUAACUAAUAAUCAUAUCUUCUGUUUGAAUAUGUAGUGGUUGAAUUAUCGAAGUGAUUUUUCUGUUUGAGUUAAAAAUAAUUUUUCUUGGAGUAAUUUGUUUGAUAAAAGCAUCAAAUUCCUGAAAUAGUUGGUUUAGGUAUGUAGUGAAAGAUUGUAUGCUAACUGGCUAGUUUGGAGAUUUCUUCCAACCUAGCUAAAAUCUUCAAAUAUCUGUUAAAAUCUGCAUUUAUUGUAAUUUAUUGGUAUAUCAAAAUCAAGUGAAGCCCUUACAGCAAACGACUAGAAUAUUUAAUGAUGAUUGAUCCCUAGUCCUGUGGUUUUUCUUUUCCAGUUAGAUUUCUUGUUAGAUUGUAAUUGUAGGAUUUCUUAUCCACUUUGAGAUGAUAGUUUCUCUUAUGGUGUCCAAAAACACAUUAAACUACUGCCGAUGCACUAAAGAAAUUAGUUAAAAUUUAAUGAGAACCAUUGAACCCAAAAAAUAUCAUGUUUAAUCUCCUGCUUGAAUGAUCUUUCCAUAUAUUCCUGCUUAGUUUUUGACUACCAGUUAUCUUAACUCUUAUGUGGUUCCUAUUUUUAACAGAUUUUGCUUGUGAAGCGUAUUGAGGAAGUACUGGAACACGCAUUUGAAGGUGGAUGCCCCUGGAGGAAACAUGCUAAGUUAUAGCAUUCUCCAGUGUUCUCCAUUCGUGGAGUAAAUAUUGAUGGAACUGCCGUUUUCGACCAGAUUUAGGGCAUCCUGAUUGACAAUGGCAGAUGCGAUCGUAUCAGCACGCAUCCAACAUGCGGAACCGAGCCAUUGGAUAAGAUAUCUACAGAAAAUAUAAAAUAUGGGCUCAGUAUUAGCCAGUGUAAUGUCCUCGAAAGAUUGACCUGAAUGAGUUAUAUAAUCCCCGCUUUAGAGCAUUAGCCGUUUCUAGCCGAUCCUAUAAUUAUAUUUGGGAUCAAAGGUUUAGUUAUCGUUGUUAUUGCUGCCGCUGCUGCCACAGAGCAUGUAGCUAUCGUUGUGCUACGAACUCCCGA
This 5098-nucleotide long non-coding RNA is filed under the name Ananas comosus (pineapple). RNAcentral's name for it is "long non-coding RNA (ACOM_LNC033755)". The record is from RNAcentral. Lineage: Eukaryota; Viridiplantae; Streptophyta; Magnoliopsida; Poales; Bromeliaceae.